GGGCCCACGGCGCGGUCUCGCGCGCGGGAGGUGGAGCGCACUUCUCCCCGAGUAGGACGCCGCGACCCGCUGGGUGUCGGUCUGAGGCCUGGGUGCGAGCCCGUGUCGCGAUUCGUCGCGUCGCGGAGCCCCGGUGUCCCGACCGACCGCUCGGCGGUCGAACGUAAGGAACUGGCCCGCGCUCUUUUGCGCGCUCGUGCCGCUUGCGAGCGUCCGGCUGAACCCGUCGUGCGGACUUGUCCGCCGCGGGCCAGUCGGCGUUGUCGGCUUGCGGAUUUCUCGGGCAGCUUGGCCUCUCCUGUUUGCGGCGCUCACAACUGGGCGGCCCACCCGGCCCGUCUUGAAACACGGACCAAGGAGUCUAACAUGUGCGCGAGUCAUUGGGUCCCACUAAACCCAAGGGCGUAUUGAACGAAAAGGCCGGCCUAGCGCCGGCCGAGGGAGGAUGGGGCGUCGCUCGCGGCGCCCCCGCAUUCCCGGGGCGUCUCGUCCUACCGGCGCUCGUCGCCGGAAGGUGAGGCGCACCAAGAGCGCACACGUUGGGACCCGAAAGAUGG
This 557-nucleotide ribosomal RNA is filed under the name Tepakia caligata. RNAcentral describes it as "eukaryotic LSU rRNA". The stretch from base 352 to 557 matches the Rfam family "Eukaryotic large subunit ribosomal RNA", at positions 665 to 826 of the family's 3401-position model. The record is from RNAcentral. Lineage: Eukaryota; Metazoa; Arthropoda; Insecta; Ephemeroptera; Leptophlebiidae.